GUCCUUAUCGAUUAGUGGUUAGAUCAUCACAUUGUGGCCAGCUCAUGAUCUGUGAAGACCGAGGCUCGAAUCCUCGUUGGGACA
Molecule: non-coding RNA, 84 nt
Organism: Cytidiella melzeri
Lineage: Eukaryota; Fungi; Basidiomycota; Agaricomycetes; Polyporales; Irpicaceae
Source: the annotation of a GenBank genome assembly